GACGAACGCUGGCGGCGUGCUUAACACAUGCAAGUCGAACGAGAAUCUACUGAAGAGGAUUCGUCCAACGGAAGUAGAGGAAAGUGGCGGACGGGUGAGUAACGCGUGAGGAACCUGCCUUGAAGAGGGGGACAACAGUUGGAAACGACUGCUAAUACCGCAUGAAGCAUAGGGGUCGCAUGAUUCUUAUGCCAAAGAUUUAUCGCUUCAAGAUGGCCUCGCGUCUGAUUAGCUAGUUGGCGGGGUAACGGCCCACCAAGGCGACGAUCAGUAGCCGGACUGAGAGGUUGAACGGCCACAUUGGGACUGAGAUACGGCCCAGACUCCUACGGGAGGCAGCAGUGGGGAAUAUUGGGCAAUGGGCGCAAGCCUGACCCAGCAACGCCGCGUGAAGGAAGAAGGCUUUCGGGUUGUAAACUUCUUUUAAGAGGGAAGAGCAGAAGACGGUACCUCUAGAAUAAGCCACGGCUAACUACGUG
This 479-nucleotide ribosomal RNA is filed under the name uncultured bacterium. RNAcentral describes it as "bacterial SSU rRNA". It matches the Rfam family "Bacterial small subunit ribosomal RNA", at positions 28 to 507 of the family's 1533-position model. The record is from RNAcentral.